UUUUUUUUUUUUUUUUUUUUUUUGAGAUGGAGUCUCGCUCUGUCGCCCAUCGCCCAGGCUGGAGUGCAGUGGCCGGAUCUCAGCUCACUGCAAGCUCCGCCUCCUGGGUUCACGCCAUUCUCCUGCCUCAGCCUCCGGAGUAGCUGGGACUACAGGCGCCUGCCACCUCGCCCGGCUAGUUUUUUGUAUUUUUUAGUAGAGUCGGGGUUUCACCGUGUUAACCAGGAUGGUCUCGAUCUCCUGACCUCGUGAUCCGCCCGUCUCGGCCUCCCAAAGUGCUGGGAUUACAGGCUUGAGCCACCGCGCCCGGCCCCUUUCUUUCUUUUUUUUUUUUGAAGGAGUUUCUCUGUUUUCCAGGCUGGAGUGCAGUGACUAGAUCUCAACUCACUGCAACCUCCGCCUCUUGGGAUCAAGUGAUUCUCCUGCCUCAGCCUCCCAAGUAAGUGAAAUUACAGGUGCUCACCACCAUGCCCAGCUAAUUUUUUUGUAUUUUUAGUAGAAACGGGGGUUUCAUCAUGUUGGCCAGGCUGGUCUCGAACCCCUGACCUUAGGUGAUCUGCCCUCCUUGGCCUCCCAAAGUGCUAGGAUUACAGGCAUGAGCCACUGUGCCUAGACCAUUAUUUGAGUUUCUAAACCAUAUUACUUUCUACUUAAAAAAAUAAAUUUACCUGAAAUUAAAAUGCAGAUUCAUGGGCCCAUCCCUGGAGAUUUGUACUUAUUUAGCAGGGGAAGAAUCUGCAUUUUAAAUGAACAUCCCAAAUUUGAGAAACAAAUCAAUGUAGCCCUUUUCUGUGCUUAUUCUAAAGAUAAUUUUUUCAAAGACACUUUUGGAGGUUUAAAAUUUUUCUUCUAAUUUUACUGUUCUCAUUUCUUCCUUGGCUUCAAGUUUCUUGAUAAUGUAUAAAUAGGUAUAUAUGUGCAAUUUAAAAACAUUUGUCCUUGAGUGUGUCUAUUUUUCCAUCUUUUGUGUGCCUCCUUUUAUAACAUAAGCUCAUUUGAGAACUCCUUAUAAGGUCACAUCAUCUUUAGAUUCAUUCUCCUUCUAUUUUACUUGGGGAUUAUUUUUUGUUGUAUAGUGAAAAUUUUAUUUUUGAGAACUUCCCACUUCUUAAUACAAGCUUCUUUUCUAGGGUCUCAGUCCACAGGUUCAUAACAACAUUUUCUCUGAACUUAAUUGCCUCAGAUUACUUAGGCAUCAAGGGUUGCUUGAUUUUAAAUUUGUUGUCUUUGUCCUAAAUUUAGGAGAUGCCUCUCAGUCUAAUUCUUGCCUUAUCAUGCCACAGGACACAAUAAUAUAGUGUUUUACUAAUUCUCCAGGGUGUUACAACUUUAAAGUUCUGACAAAGGAGAGUGCCCUCUGACAGAUUACUGUAGCCUAACCCGUGACCUCCAUGCUGAUGUCAAAAAACAAAUGCUAAAUCAAUCUAAAACAUUCAUUUUAAAUUGGAAGCAAAAUAUCUAGCUCAGAAUUAAAGGAAUUCGCCUGAAUAUUUGGGAAAAUAUAAAUCUUUUACUUAAUGAAUAUUCUUUAAAUUUCUACUAUGAAAUUCUCACUCAUGAUUGUUGGACACACAAAAAGAAAUAUUUCAUGUCUAUCUGACUAAAGGAAAAUAUUACUUCUGAUGAUUCCUGUUGCUGUAUUAAUAUUUUUAAUAUUUUAUUUGGUUAGUACAUUUUAUUAUUUUCGUAAAUUCAAGAUUCCUAUAAUACAGAUAAAGCAAUGGGCACACAUGAAAUCAAGCUGAGAAAAUGUGCUUCUGAUGUUUGAGGUAUUUUUGUUUUAGUUUAAUCAAUUUGACCAUU
This is a long non-coding RNA of Macaca fascicularis (crab-eating macaque), 1803 nucleotides long. The record is from Ensembl. NCBI's taxonomy places the organism in Eukaryota, Metazoa, Chordata, Mammalia, Primates, Cercopithecidae.